GACGAACGCUGGCGGCGUGCUUAACACAUGCAAGUCGAACGAAGAGCGAUGGAAGCUUGCUUCUAUCAAUCUUAGUGGCGCACGGGUGAGUAACGCGUAAUCAACCUGCCCUUCAGAGAGGGACAACAGUUGGAAACGACUGCUAAUACCGCAUACGAUCUAAUCUCGGCAUCGAGGAUAGAUGAAAGGUGGCCUCUACAUGUAAGCUAUCACUGAAGGAGGGGAUUGCGUCUGAUUAGCUAGUUGGAGGGGUAACGGCCCACCAAGGCGAUGAUCAGUAGCCGGUCUGAGAGGAUGAACGGCCACAUUGGGGCUGAGACACGGCCCAGACUCCUACGGGAGGCAGCAGUGGGGAAUCUUCCGCAAUGGACGAAAGUCUGACGGAGCAACGCCGCGUGAGUGAUGACGGCCUUCGGGUUGUAAAGCUCGGUUAAUCGGGACGAAAGGCCUUCUUGCGAAUAGUGAGAAGGAUUGACGGUACCGGAAUAGAAAGCCACGGCUAACUACGUG
RNAcentral lists this ribosomal RNA (510 nucleotides) under uncultured bacterium. Its description in RNAcentral is "partial 16S ribosomal RNA". It matches the Rfam family "Bacterial small subunit ribosomal RNA", at positions 28 to 507 of the family's 1533-position model. The record is from RNAcentral.